Molecule: ribosomal RNA, 253 nt
Filed under: uncultured bacterium
Lineage: Bacteria
Description: partial 16S ribosomal RNA
Rfam family: Bacterial small subunit ribosomal RNA
Source: RNAcentral
UACGGAGGGAGCUAGCGUUGUUCGGAAUUACUGGGCGUAAAGAGCGCGCAGGCGGCUGGUCAAGUCCGAUGUGAAAUCUCCCGGCUUAACUGGGAAACUGCAUCGGAAACUGAUCGGCUUGAAGGUGGGAGAGGGUAGUGGAAUUCCCGGUGUAGUGGUGAAAUGCGUAGAUAUCGGGAGGAACACCGGUGGCGAAGGCGGUUCUCUGGGCAUUACCUGACGCUGAGGAGCGAAAGUGUGGGGAGCGAACAGG